AACGAACGCUGGCGGCAGGCUUAACACAUGCAAGUCGAACGCAUCCUUCGGGAUGAGUGGCAGACGGGUGAGUAACGCGUGGGAAUUUACCCAGCUCUACGGAACAACUCAGGGAAACUUGAGCUAAUACCGUAUACGCCCUUUGGGGGAAAGAUUUAUCGGAGUUGGAUGAGCCCGCGUUUGAUUAGCUAGUUGGUGGGGUAAAGGCCUACCAAGGCGACGAUCAAUAGCUGGUCUGAGAGGAUGAUCAGCCACACUGGGACUGAGACACGGCCCAGACUCCUACGGGAGGCAGCAGUGGGGAAUAUUGGACAAUGGGCGCAAGCCUGAUCCAGCCAUGCCGCGUGAGCGAUGAAGGCCUUCGGGUCGUAAAGCUCUGUCCUAAGGGAAUAAUGACGGUACCUUAGGAGGAAGCCCCGGCUAACUACGUGCCAGCGCCGCGGUAA
Molecule: ribosomal RNA, 446 nt
Filed under: uncultured bacterium
Lineage: Bacteria
Description: bacterial SSU rRNA
Rfam family: Bacterial small subunit ribosomal RNA
Source: RNAcentral